This 439-nucleotide ribosomal RNA is filed under the name uncultured bacterium. Its description in RNAcentral is "partial 16S ribosomal RNA". It matches the Rfam family "Bacterial small subunit ribosomal RNA", at positions 339 to 795 of the family's 1533-position model. The record is from RNAcentral.
CUACGGGGCGCAGCAGUGAGGAAUAUUGCACAAUGGGGGGAACCCCGAUGCAGCAACGCCGCGUGGAGGAUGACGCAUUUCGGUGUGUAAACUCCUUUUAUAUGUCAAGAAAAUGACGGUAGCAUAUGAAUAAGCACCGGCUAACUCCGUGCCAGCAGCCGCGGUAAUACGGAGGGUGCAAGCGUUACUCGGAAUCACUGGACGUAAAGGACGCGUAGGCGGGUUGGGAAGUCAGGUGUGAAAUCCUACAGCUUAACUGUAGAACUGCACUUGAAACUUCUAAUCUAGAGUAUGGGAGGGGGAGAUGGAAUUAGUGGUGUAGGGGUAAAAUCCGUAGAUAUCACUAGGAAUACCUAAAGCGAAGGCGAUCUCCUGGAACAUUACUGACGCUAAGGCGUGAAAGCGUGGGGAGCAAACAGGAUUAGAUACCCUCGUAGUC